Molecule: ribosomal RNA, 465 nt
Filed under: uncultured bacterium
Lineage: Bacteria
Description: partial 16S ribosomal RNA
Rfam family: Bacterial small subunit ribosomal RNA
Source: RNAcentral
CCUACGGGUGGCAGCAGUGGGGAAUAUUGCACAAUGGGCGAAAGCCUGACGCAGCGACGCCGCGUGAGGGAUGAAGGUUCUCGGAUCGUAAACCUCUGUCAGAAGGGAAGAAAUUAUAUCAUGCUCAUCAGUGGUGUAUUGACGGUACCUUCAAAGGAAGCACCGGCUAACUCCGUGGCAGCAGCCGCGGGAAUACGGAGGGUGCGAGCGUUAAUCGGAAUUACUGGGCGUAAAGCGCACGUAGGCUGUAUGACAAGUCAAGGGUGAAAGGCCACGGCUCAACCGUGGAACUGCCUUUGAAACUGUCGAACUGGAGUAGGUGAGAGGGAGGCGGAAUUCCUGGUGUAGGAGUGAAAUGCGUAGAUAUCAGGAGGAACAUCAGUGGCGAAGGCGGCCGACUGGCACAAAACUGACGCUGAGGUGCGAAAGCGUGGGUAGCAAACAGGAUUAGAUACCCUAGUAGUC